This 414-nucleotide ribosomal RNA is filed under the name uncultured bacterium. Its description in RNAcentral is "bacterial SSU rRNA". It matches the Rfam family "Bacterial small subunit ribosomal RNA", at positions 355 to 787 of the family's 1533-position model. The record is from RNAcentral.
UAGGGAAUAUUGCACAAUGGGGAAGACCCUGAUGCAGCGACGCCGCGUGAAGGAAGAAGUGUCUCGGUAUGUAAACUUCUAUCAGCAGGGAAGACAAUGACGGUACCUGACUAAGAAGCCCCGGCUAACUACGUGCCAGCAGUCGCGGUAAUACGUAGGGGGCAAGCGUUAUCCGGAUUUACUGGGCUGUAAAGGGAGCGUAGACGGAAUGCAAGUCUGAUGUGAAAGGCAGGGGCUCAACCCCUGACUGCAUUGGAAACUGUUGAUCUUGAGUACCGGAGGGGUAAGCGGAAUUCCUAGUGUAGCGGUGAAAUGCGUAGAUAUUAGGAGGAACACCAGUGGCGAAGGCGGCUUACUGGACGGUAACUGACGUUGAGGCUCGAAAGCGUGGGGAGCAAACAGGAUUAGAUACCC